UACUCCUACGGGAGGCAGCAGUGGGGGAAUAUUGUACAAUGGGGGAAACCCUGAUGCAGCGACGCCGCGUGAGUGAAGAAGUAUUUCGGUAUGUAAAGCUCUAUCAGCAGGGAAGAUAAUGACGGUACCUGACUAAGAAGCCCCGGCUAACUACGUGCCAGCAGCCGCGGUAAUACGUAGGGGGCAAGCGUUAUCCGGAUUUACUGGGUGUAAAGGGAGCGCAGGCGGUGCGGCAAGUCUGAUGUGAAAGCC
This 252-nucleotide ribosomal RNA is filed under the name uncultured bacterium. RNAcentral describes it as "partial 16S ribosomal RNA". It matches the Rfam family "Bacterial small subunit ribosomal RNA", at positions 334 to 602 of the family's 1533-position model. The record is from RNAcentral.